Molecule: ribosomal RNA, 536 nt
Filed under: uncultured bacterium
Lineage: Bacteria
Description: bacterial SSU rRNA
Rfam family: Bacterial small subunit ribosomal RNA
Source: RNAcentral
UGGGGAAUAUUGCGCAAUGGGCGAAAGCCUGACGCAGCGACGCCGCGUGGGGGAUGAAGCUUCUCGGAGUGUAAACCCCUUUCGACCCGGACGAAUGACCCGCAAGGGUUUGACGGUACGGGUAUAAGAAGCCCCGGCUAACUACGUGCCAGCAGCCGCGGUAAUACGUAGGGGGCCAGCGUUGCUCGGAAUUACUGGGCGUAAAGGGUUCGUAGGCGGUGCGGUAAGUUGGGAGUGAAAUCUCUGGGCUUAACCCAGAGGCUGCUUUCAAAACUGCCGCGCUCGAGUGCGAGAGAGGUCAGUGGAAUUGCAGGUGUAGCGGUGAAAUGCGUAGAUAUCUGCAGGAACACCCGUGGCGAAGGCGGCUGACUGGAUCGCAACUGACGCUGAGGAACGAAAGCUAGGGGAGCAAACAGGAUUAGAUACCCUGGUAGUCCUAGCCCUAAACCAUCAGAACUUGGGGUGGCCCGCGUAGGCGGGUCGUCCCGUAGCUAACGCGUUAAGUUCUGCGCCUGGGGAGUACGGUCGCAAGACUG